GACGAACGCUGGCGGCGUGCUUAACACAUGCAAGUCGAACGGAAAGGCCCUGCUUUUGUGGGGUGCUCGAGUGGCGAACGGGUGAGUAACACGUGAGUAACCUGCCCUUGACUUUGGGAUAACUUCAGGAAACUGGGGCUAAUACCGGAUAGGAGCUCCUGCUGCAUGGUGGGGGUUGGAAAGUUUCGGCGGUUGGGGAUGGACUCGCGGCUUAUCAGCUUGUUGGUGGGGUAGUGGCUUACCAAGGCUUUGACGGGUAGCCGGCCUGAGAGGGUGACCGGCCACAUUGGGACUGAGAUACGGCCCAGACUCCUACGGGAGGCAGCAGUGGGGAAUAUUGCACAAUGGGCGGAAGCCUGAUGCAGCAACGCCGCGUGCGGGAUGACGGCCUUCGGGUUGUAAACCGCUUUCGCCUGUGACGAAGCGUGAGUGACGGUAAUGGGUAAAGAAGCACCGGCUAACUACGUGCCAGCAGCCGCGGUGAUACGUAGGGUGCGAGCGUUGUCCGGAUUUAUUGGGCGUAAAGGGCUCGUAGGUGGUUGAUCGCGUCGGAAGUGUAAUCUUGGGGCUUAACCCUGAGCGUGCUUUCGAUACGGGUUGACUUGAGGAAGGUAGGGGAGAGUGGAAUUCCUGGUGGAGCGGUGGAAUGCGCAGAUAUCAGGAGGAACACCAGUGGCGAAGGCGGUUCUCUGGGCCUUUCCUGACGCUGAGGAGCGAAAGCGUGGGGAGCGAACAGGCUUAGAUACCCUGGUAGUCCACGCUGUAAACGGUGGGUACUAGGUGUGGGGUCCAUUCCACGGGUUCCGUGCCGUAGCUAACGCUUUAAGUACCCCGCCUGGGGAGUACGGCCGCAAGGCUAAAACUCAAAGGAAUUGACGGGGCCCCGCACAAGCGGCGGAGCAUGCGGAUUAAUUCGAUGCAACGCGUAGAACCUUACCUGGGUUUGACAUGGAUCGGGAGUGCUCAGAGAUGGGUGUGCCUCUUUUGGGGUCGGUUCACAGGUGGUGCAUGCCUGUCGUCAGCUCGUGUCGUGAGAUGUUGGGUUAAGUCCCGCAACGAGCGCAACCCUUGUUCACUGUUGCCAGCACGUUAUGGUGGGGACUCAGUGGAGACCGCCGGGGUCAACUCGGAGGAAGGUGGGGAUGACGUCAAGUCCUCAUGCCCCUUAUGUCCAGGGCUUCACGCAUGCUACAAUGGCUGGUACAGAGAGUGGCGAGCCUGUGAGGGUGAGCGAAUCUCGGAAAGCCGGUCUCAGUUCGGAUUGGGGUCUGCAACUCGACCUCAUGAAGUCGGAGUCGCUAGUAAUCGCAAAUCAGCAACGCUGCGGUGAAUACGUUCCCGGG
Molecule: ribosomal RNA, 1343 nt
Filed under: uncultured bacterium
Lineage: Bacteria
Description: 16S ribosomal RNA
Rfam family: Bacterial small subunit ribosomal RNA
Source: RNAcentral